UACAGAGGGGGCAAGCGUUGUUCGGAAUUACUGGGCGUAAAGGGCGCGUAGGCGGCCUGUUAAGUCGAACGUGAAAUCCCCGGGCUCAACCCGGGAACUGCGUCCGAUACUGGCAGGCUUGAAUCCGGGAGAGGGAUGCGGAAUUCCAGGUGUAGCGGUGAAAUGCGUAGAGAUUAGGAAGAACACCAGUGGCGAAGGCGACUUUCUGGACCAUAACUGACGCUGAGGCAUGAAAGCGUGGGGAGCAAACAGG
Molecule: ribosomal RNA, 253 nt
Filed under: uncultured bacterium
Lineage: Bacteria
Description: partial 16S ribosomal RNA
Rfam family: Bacterial small subunit ribosomal RNA
Source: RNAcentral